RNAcentral lists this ribosomal RNA (761 nucleotides) under uncultured Cellulomonadaceae bacterium. Its description in RNAcentral is "bacterial SSU rRNA". It matches the Rfam family "Bacterial small subunit ribosomal RNA", at positions 331 to 1105 of the family's 1533-position model. Lineage: Bacteria; Bacillati; Actinomycetota; Actinomycetes; Micrococcales; Cellulomonadaceae. The record is from RNAcentral.
CCAGACUCCUACGGGAGGCAGCAGUGGGGAAUAUUGCGCAAUGGGCGAAAGCCUGACGCAGCGACGCCGCGUGGGGGAUGAAGGCCUUCGGGUUGUAAACCCCUUUCAGCAGGGACGAAGCGAAAGUGACGGUACCUGCAGAAGAAGCGCCGGCUAACUACGUGCCAGCAGCCGCGGUAAUACGUAGGGCGCAAGCGUUGUCCGGAAUUAUUGGGCGUAAAGAGCUCGUAGGCGGUUUGUCGCGUCUGCUGUGAAAUCCUCAGGCUCAACCUGGGGCUUGCAGUGGGUACGGGCAGACUAGAGUGCGGUAGGGGUGACUGGAAUUCCUGGUGUAGCGGUGGAAUGCGCAGAUAUCAGGAGGAACACCGAUGGCGAAGGCAGGUCACUGGGCCGCAACUGACGCUGAGGAGCGAAAGCAUGGGGAGCGAACAGGAUUAGAUACCCUGGUAGUCCAUGCCGUAAACGUUGGGCACUAGGUGUGGGUCCCAUUCCACGGGUUCCGUGCCGCAGCAAACGCAUUAAGUGCCCCGCCUGGGGAGUACGGCCGCAAGGCUAAAACUCAAAGAAAUUGACGGGGGCCCGCACAAGCGGCGGAGCAUGCGGAUUAAUUCGAUGCAACGCGAAGAACCUUACCAAGGCUUGACAUACACCGGAAAAGUGCAGAGAUGUGCUCCCCGUAAGGUCGGUGUACAGGUGGUGCAUGGUUGUCGUCAGCUCGUGUCGUGAGAUGUUGGGUUAAGUCCCGCAACGAGCGCAACCCU